RNAcentral lists this ribosomal RNA (478 nucleotides) under uncultured bacterium. Its description in RNAcentral is "bacterial SSU rRNA". It matches the Rfam family "Bacterial small subunit ribosomal RNA", at positions 23 to 507 of the family's 1533-position model. The record is from RNAcentral.
CUCAGGAUGAACGCUAGCGGCAGGCUUAAUACAUGCAAGUCGAGGGGGCAGCAAUGUCACCGGCGAACGGGUGCGUAACGCGUAUGCAACCUACCUACAUCGAGGGGGAUAGCCCUAGGAAACUGGGAUUAAUACCGCAUAAUAUAUGACAAGGCAUCUUGUUAUAUUGAAAUAUUUAUAGGAUGUAGAUGGGCAUGCGUAGGAUUAGCUAGUUGGUAAGGUAACGGCUUACCAAGGCUACGAUCCUUAGGGGCUCUGAGAGGAGUAUCCCCCACACUGGCACUGAGAUACGGGCCAGACUCCUACGGGAGGCAGCAGUGGGGAAUUUUGGACAAUGGGCGCAAGCCUGAUCCAGCAAUGCCGCGUGCAGGAUGAAGGCCUUCGGGUUGUAAACUGCUUUUGUACGGAGCGAAAAGGCCCUCUCUAAUACAGGGGGUUCAUGACGGUACCGUAAGAAUAAGCACCGGCUAACUACGUG